AGAGUCCCCUAAGUGCACUCUGUGAGCCUCUCCUGUCCCACCGGGCCGCACCCAGUUCCCAGUGGCCUAGUGUCCAUGUCACCCAAGCCUCCACCCAGAGUUGCUCCCAUGCCUGGCAGCCUGGGAGGCCAAGGACUGACUGGUGAUGGCGACUGACCAGCAGGAGGAUGCCAGCUCCGCAUCAUCCGGCACUUGUGCCAGGUGCCUGAGGCCCUGCAGGGGCUGUGCCUCUGAGGCCACCAGCAACUCCCGCUCCCUGCUGCAGGGUCUCUGGGUGUGAAAUGAAUAGGAACCUCCUUCCCAGCUGUCUUCCAGGCCCUGGGAUCUGUCACAGCCUCUCAGACGGGAGCAGCCUGCAGCUGAGCCACCUCCGGGAGCAGUGGGGAUGGGUCACCUCGUCCCAUCAAAGCAAGCAAUGCUGGGUCUCAAAGAGGCUUAGAUGGAAGACCCCACUCCCUCAUGGAGGAAGGGACUCCCCAGAGAUGUCCUCGAACCUGGACUCCUGAGAGCAUUUCCGGUAGGAGGCUCCAGCCCCUCAGGCAUGAAGAGAGCAUCAGGUAGUCUCAUUCACAUGGUAUCUCCGGUCUCCAGCUCCACUUCCCGCAGCACAGCAAACGAACCCAUCAGCUCCCAAAAUCCCAACUCUUUGACCUCCUUCCGCUCAGCAGUGGGGUUUCUCCAGCCCCCUCACCACACCUGUCAGCCUCUGAAUGAUGAAGGUCCUGAAUGUCAGAGUCACCAGAACAAGAAAACUCCAGUUCCAGGCAGUGGGACCUGUGUGUACUCAGCCCCUCUAGAAACCAGGUCUGAAAUGGGGAGCAAGAACCCCAGCCCAGUAACAGUAGGAGUAGACAGAGCAGACCUGUAACAGGGUGCUUUCUCCUGGGCUGCACAGCCUGGGGCUUAGCCCAGCUGAUUACAGAAUGAGCCCUAACUGAGAGGCACCAUAUACCUCUCCCCCUAAAGAGGCAGACUUCAGUGGUGAUACAACCCAGCUGGGGUAUCAACAGGAAUGAGAAUGAGGUAGGAAGUUCAGAGCAGCAAGGAACUCCCUAGAGGGGAACUUGAGAAGAGAGGUAGGAAGUGCCCAGGGAAAACUGC
Molecule: long non-coding RNA, 1101 nt
Organism: Trachemys scripta elegans
Lineage: Eukaryota; Metazoa; Chordata; Testudines; Emydidae
Exons: 4
Source: RefSeq, a predicted model, not a curated record